CCUACGGGAGGCAGCAGUGAGGAAUAUUGGUCAAUGGGCGUAAGCCUGAACCAGCCAAGUCGCGUGAGGGAUGAAGGUUCUAUGGAUCGUAAACCUCUGUUAUAAGGGAAUAAAGUGCGGGACGUGUCCCGUUUUGUAUGUACCUUAUGAAUAAGGAUCGGCUAACUCCGUGCCAGCAGCCGCGGUAAUACUGAGGCUCCGGGCGUUGUCCGGAUUUAUUGGGUUUAAAGGGUGCGUAGGCGGGCUUUUAAGUCAGCGGUGAAAGGCGGUGGCUCAACCAUAGAAUUGCCGUUGAGACUGGGAGGCUAGAGUAUGUGUGAGGCAGGCGGAAUGCGUGGUGUAGCAGUGAAAUGCUUAGAUAUCGCGCAGAACACCGAUUGCGAAGGCAGCCUGCCAGGCCAUGACUGACGCUGAGGCACGAAAGCGUGGGGAUCAAAAAGGAUUAGAUACCCUAGUAGUC
This 460-nucleotide ribosomal RNA is filed under the name uncultured bacterium. Its description in RNAcentral is "partial 16S ribosomal RNA". It matches the Rfam family "Bacterial small subunit ribosomal RNA", at positions 338 to 795 of the family's 1533-position model. The record is from RNAcentral.